AAAAAUUAGAUUAUUAUUUAAUAAAUUAUUAUUUUUAUACYUUAUAGAAAUUUUUUAUUUUUAGUAUGAUAUAGAAAAAUUUUUUUUUAUGAUAGAUUAAUAUGUAAUGUAAAUGAAUAGCUUAUUUGUUUAAAAGAAUAUUUUAUUUAUUGUAUCUUGUGUAUCAGAGUUUAUUUAAAAUAAUUUAAUUAUUUAAAAAUCUCGAAAUUUUAAGAGUUAUAUUAUUAAAUUAUUAAUGUUUUAUAAUUUUUAUUAAAUUUAAUAUAGAAAUGAAAAGUUAAUCGUUUAAAAUUAUAUCUAGUUUUUUUAGAGUGAAUUUAAUUUGUUAUAAUUUAUAAAAUUGAUUUGAAUUAUUCAAUUUUUUAGGGAUAAUCUUGAAAAAUAUAUUAAAUUUAUUAAAAAAUUGAAUUAAUUUAUAGGAAUAGAAUUUUUCAUUAUUUAAUUUUUUAUAAAUAAUUUAUUAUAGAAAAAAGAUUUUUUAGUUUUUUAAGUUUUUUAUAAAAAUAUUAUUUUUAACUAUUUAGAAUAAGUGAAAGUGAUAAAAUUAGUAAAUUUUAUUUAUUAAGUAGAUGUGAAUAAAAAAUUAUUUAUAUGAAUUAGACAAAAUUAUUUUUACCUGUUUAAUAAAAACAUGGUUGUUAGUAUAGAGUUAAUGAUCAGGCCUGCCCAUUGAAUUUUUAAAGGCUGCAGUAUAUUGACUGUACAAAGGUAGCGUAAUCWUUAGUUUUUUAAUUGAAAACUUGUAUGAAUGGCUUGAUAAAAAAUAAAUUUUAUUUAAAUUAAUAAUUGAAUUUUUUAUUUAAGUGAAAAAACUUAAAUGUUUAAGAAAGACGAUAAGACCCUAUAAAAUUUUAUUAAUUUUUAUAAUUUUGAAUUUUAUGAUUAAUUUGGUUGGGGAAAUUUUUCAUUAAAUUAAUGUUUGUUUUAAAUUAAUAUAAUAAUUUUAAAGAUUUUAGGAUUUAAAUUAGAAGAUUAAAAUUGCUUUAGGGAUAACAGCGUAAUAUUUUUUUAUAGUUCAUAUAGAAAAAAAGGUUUGCGACCUCGAUGUUGGAUUUAAAUAUUAGUAUAAAUGAAGAUUUUUAUAUUAUUAGUCUGUUCGACUUAAUAUUUAACAUGAUCUGAGUUAAAAUCGGUGUGAGCCAGAUUGGUUUCUAUCUUCUUAAAUUUAUAGUUUUAAAGUACGAAAGGAAAUUUAAAUAUUAAGGAUACUUAUAUAAAAGUGAAUAAGAUUAUUUAUUUUUUUGAUAAGUYU
This 1252-nucleotide ribosomal RNA is filed under the name Xenos vesparum. RNAcentral describes it as "16S ribosomal RNA". Lineage: Eukaryota; Metazoa; Arthropoda; Insecta; Strepsiptera; Xenidae. The record is from RNAcentral.